GACGAACGCUGGCGGCGUGCUUAACACAUGCAAGUCGAACGGAAAGGCUCCAGCUUGCUGGAGUACUCGAGUGGCGAACGGGUGAGUAACACGUGGGUAAUCUGCCCUGCAUUCUGGGAUAAGCCUGGGAAACUGGGUCUAAUACUGGAUAUGACCUUUCUCCUUAUGGGGUUUGGUGGAAAGUUUUUCGGUGUAGGAUGAGCCCGCGGCCUAUCAGCUUGUUGGUGGGGUGAUGGCCUACCAAGGCGACGACGGGUAGCCGGCCUGAGAGGGUGAUCGGCCACAUUGGGACUGAGAUGCGGCCUAGACUCCUACGGGAGGCAGCAGUGGGGAAUAUUGCACAGUGGGCGGAAGCCUGAUGCAGCGACGCCGCGUGAGGGAUGACGGCCUUCGGGUUGUAAACCUCUUUCAGCAGGGACGAAGCGUAAGUGACGGUACCUGCAGAAGAAGCACCGGCUAACUAUGUG
RNAcentral lists this ribosomal RNA (467 nucleotides) under uncultured bacterium. RNAcentral's name for it is "partial 16S ribosomal RNA". It matches the Rfam family "Bacterial small subunit ribosomal RNA", at positions 28 to 507 of the family's 1533-position model. The record is from RNAcentral.